Molecule: ribosomal RNA, 253 nt
Filed under: uncultured bacterium
Lineage: Bacteria
Description: partial 16S ribosomal RNA
Rfam family: Bacterial small subunit ribosomal RNA
Source: RNAcentral
UACGUAGGUGACAAGCGUUGUCCGGAUUUACUGGGCGUAAAGAGCGCGCAGGCGGUCGAUCAAGUCGAGUGUGAAAGCCCCCGGCUCAACUGGGGAGGGUCAUUCGAUACUGAUCGACUCGAAGGCAGGAGAGGGUAGUGGAAUUCCCGGUGUAGUGGUGGAAUGCGUAGAUAUCGGGAGGAACACCUGUGGCGAAAGCGGCGCACUGGACCAUAACUGACGCUGAGGCGCGAAAGCUAGGGGAGCAAACAGG